Molecule: ribosomal RNA, 330 nt
Filed under: uncultured eukaryote
Lineage: Eukaryota
Description: partial 18S ribosomal RNA
Rfam family: Eukaryotic small subunit ribosomal RNA
Source: RNAcentral
CCCUUAGAUGUUCUGGGCCGCACGCGCGCUACACUGAGCCCUUCAUCGAGUUUACAACCUUGGCCGGUAGGUCUGGGUAAUCUUCUCAAAGGGGCUCGUGCUGGGGAUAGAUUAUUGUAAUUUUUAAUCUUCAACGAGGAAUUCCUAGUAAACGCAAGUCAACAGCUUGCAUUGAUUACGUCCCUGCCCUUUGUACACACCGCCCGUCGCUACUACCGAUUGAAUGGCAUAGUGAGCCCGAGGGACUGUUGCACCUAGAGGGUUUUCUCUCCAGGAGCAGCCGGGAACUCGGUCAAACUUGAUCAUUUAGAGGAAGUAAAAGUCGUAACA